This 56-nucleotide microRNA precursor is filed under the name Lottia gigantea (owl limpet). RNAcentral describes it as "Lgi-Mir-2722_pre stem-loop". Lineage: Eukaryota; Metazoa; Mollusca; Gastropoda; Lottiidae. The record is from RNAcentral.
GAGGUGUUUCAUAGGCGCUACAGUGGAAGUGACGUGGCGCCGUGGAAACAUCUACC